AAGGGACCUUAAGGCUCGCGCUGAAUGAUGAGUGAUGAGUGAAACUCUGCCGCCAAUUGCUCUAAAGUGAAACGUGAUGUCUUCUUUGCCAGAAUUUGUCAAAAGACAAAUUCAGAGAUUCACAAACAAAUACCCCUCUAAGCUAAAACAAAAAUAUGCGUGCGUAAAAUGUGUGUUCUAUCAAGAAUUAAUUACAAAACAAGAGCAUGUAGGGAAAAAAAAUUAAAUUGGCUGACAGGGGUGCACAGGGGCAGGACCUCAGGGACACUGGCCCCAGCUGAAAGCUGAUUGCCCCCCAGUGUACCCCUCCUUGAUUCCAAACAUAUCAUCUAUCCAUCCAUCCAUUUUCCAAACCGCUUAGCCUACUGGGUUGCGGGGCGUCUGGAGCCUAUCCCGAAAGCAAUGGGCACGAGGCGGGGAACAACCCAGAAUGGGGGGCCAGCCCAUCGCAGGGCACACUCACACACCAUUCAAUCACACAUGCACACCUACGGGCAAUUUUACCAAGUCCAAUUAGCCUCAGCAUAUCUUUCGACUGUGGGGGGAAACCGCUGGCCCCGCUCAAUGAGUUAUGCUCCCUCCCAUGCGUCCAUCAAUUGCCCUUGUAACGUGUUAUCCAGUACAGCACUAUGGUGAACUUCUAGCCUAUCCCAGGAAAUCCAGUGUCUGAGGAGGGACACACCCUAUGCGGCUCACCAGUCUUUGAGGAAGGACACACCCUAGGUGGCUCACCGGUGUCUGAGGUGGGGCAUGCCCUAUGCGGCUCACCAGUGUCUGAGGAGGGACACACCCUAGGUGGCUCACCGGUGUCUGAGGAUGUGCACACCCUAGGUGGGUCACUGGUGUCUGAGGUGGGGCAUGCCUUAUGUGGCUCACCAGUGUCUGAGGAGGGACACACCCUAGGUGGCUCACCAGUGUCUGAGGAGGGACACACCCUAGGUGGCUCACCGGUGUCUGAGGAUGUGCACACCCUAGGUGGGUCACUGGUGUCUGAGGUGGGGCAUGCCUUAUGUGGCUCACCAGUGUCUGAGGAGGGACACACCCUAGGUGGCUCACCAGUGUCUGAGGAUGUGCACACCCUAGGUGGGUCACUGGUGUCUGAGGUGGGGCAUGCCUUAUGUGGCUCACCAGUGUCUGAGGAGGGACACACCCUAGGUGGCUCACCGGUGUCUGAGGAUGUGCACACCCUAGGUGGGUCACUUGUGUCUGAGGUGGGGCAUGCCUUAUGUGGCUCACCAGUGUCUGAGGAGGGACACACCCUAGGUGGCUCACCGGUGUCUGAGGAUGUGCACACCCUAGGUGGGUCACUGGUGUCUGAGGUGGGGCAUGCCUUAUGUGGCUCACCAGUGUCUGAGGAGGGACACACCCUAGGUGGCUCACCAGUGUCUGAGGAUGUGCACACCCUAGGUGGGUCACUGGUGUCUAGGGUGGGACACACCAUAGGUGCCUCAGCAGUGGUUCACAGGGUACAUGCUCAAACACUGUGGGGAAUUUAGGGAUUCAUGUUCACCUAACCAGACAUUUUUGGAGUAAAUUCAAAAAGCAAGCAAGCUUCCCAACCCACGGCUGGAUCACCAAGGGGGUUGGGAAUCAAACCCACUACUCAAUCAGCAACCUGACAUUAAAUAAAUCAUAUAAACUCAAUCAAAGUUUGUUACAGCCGAGAACCACAGUGCAAAGGCCAAUACUUUUUUCUCUUUUUUGGCAAAAACAAGGAAAUCAGACAUCCUCUCUACUCCCCGUUUUACUUGGAAUGAUUCAGCCCUACCGUAGGCCUCAUGACACUGGUUAGCCAGUAUUGGGUAGCCAGCCUACAUUUGAAGAAAUCAGUCUGAAUUGCAACUUGUGCACGCAAUGCCAAAGGAAAAUUAAGGCUACAAAAAAUGAAAGAAAAACAUUGGUAAUAUUCGCUUGCUACUCCAACGUAUAAUUACAUAAUAAAAUGCACUUGGUGACUCAUCUUUAUCUCCUCAUAAAGAGUUUAAAGUUUGCUGCUUCAUUCGAAAUUUAACUUGAACUUAACUUGAGGAAAGCUAACAAUUCUUGCUCACCGUCUAAAUCAAGAUUUUGCUCUGGUGUGUCAUGCACAAAAUUAAUGGGACACAGCAUAUGUUUCAACAGUAUUCAACAUUUUCAGAGCUCACUGUAUAUUACUUAUGACAUUAAAUAUACAGGCUAGGAGGGUAAAGGUAAGAAAAUAUUCAGUGCUGUUAAAGCUUUGAAUGGACCAUAUGGAUUUCGGGGUGGGGGUGUGUGGUUAUGGCAGGUACGUGGGGUUGGAUUGGUCUGGAUUGGGUGCCCAAUAUAUACUUCCAUAGGGCCCAAAAUUAGAGACACACACGGAAAUGAGUUUGGAUGCCAGAGCAUAUGAUUAGCUAGUGUCCAGCACUCCUGGGGUUAAGUGCUCAAUGGAAAUAUACUGACACUGACACAGCAUAGCCACCAUCACUCAAUUUCUCAAACCCCAGUCAACCCAGAUGGGACUCGAACCCAUAACCUUAUCCAUUAGGCCACUGGGUCACAUUUAAGCUUUUAAUUUAAGCAAUAUUUGCCAGUGUUUUACUGUAGUGCAGCAAUUCAGGACUUUAAAGGUCAUAUUCUGCAGCCUUUAUUUUGA
Brienomyrus brachyistius is the source of this 2617-nucleotide long non-coding RNA. RefSeq lists it as uncharacterized. Lineage: Eukaryota; Metazoa; Chordata; Actinopteri; Osteoglossiformes; Mormyridae. The transcript has 3 exons. The record is from RefSeq and is a predicted model, not a curated record.